GCUUAACACAUGCAAGUCGAACGGAAAGGCCCUGCUUUUGUGGGGUGCUCGAGUGGCGAACGGGUGAGUAACACGUGAGUAACCUGCCCUUGACUUUGGGAUAACUUCAGGAAACUGGGGCUAAUACCGGAUAGGAGCUCCUGCUGCAUGGUGGGGGUUGGAAAGUUUCGGCGGUUGGGGAUGGACUCGCGGCUUAUCAGCUUGUUGGUGGGGUAGUGGCUUACCAAGGCUUUGACGGGUAGCCGGCCUGAGAGGGUGACCGGCCACAUUGGGACUGAGAUACGGCCCAGACUCCUACGGGAGGCAGCAGUGGGGAAUAUUGCACAAUGGGCGGAAGCCUGAUGCAGCAACGCCGCGUGCGGGAUGACGGCCUUCGGGUUGUAAACCGCUUUCGCCUGUGACGAAGCGUGAGUGACGGUAAUGGGUAAAGAAGCACCGGCUAACUACGUGCCAGCAGCCGCGGUGAUACGUAGGGUGCGAGCGUUGUCCGGAUUUAUUGGGCGUAAAGGGCUCGUAGGUGGUUGAUCGCGUCGGAAGUGUAAUCUUGGGGCUUAACCCUGAGCGUGCUUUCGAUACGGGUUGACUUGAGGAAGGUAGGGGAGAAUGGAAUUCCUGGUGGAGCGGUGGAAUGCGCAGAUAUCAGGAGGAACACCAGUGGCGAAGGCGGUUCUCUGGGCCUUUCCUGACGCUGAGGAGCGAAAGCGUGGGGAGCGAACAGGCUUAGAUACCCUGGUAGUCCACGCUGUAAACGGUGGGUACUAGGUGUGGGGUCCAUUCCACGGGUUCCGUGCCGUAGCUAACGCUUUAAGUACCCCGCCUGGGGAGUACGGCCGCAAGGCUAAAACUCAAAGGAAUUGACGGGGCCCCGCACAAGCGGCGGAGCAUGCGGAUUAAUUCGAUGCAACGCGUAGAACCUUACCUGGGUUUGACAUGGAUCGGGAGUGCUCAGAGAUGGGUGUGCCUCUUUUGGGGUCGGUUCACAGGUGGUGCAUGGCUGUCGUCAGCUCGUGUCGUGAGAUGUUGGGUUAAGUCCCGCAACGAGCGCAACCCUUGUUCACUGUUGCCAGCACGUUAUGGUGGGGACUCAGUGGAGACCGCCGGGGUCAACUCGGAGGAAGGUGGGGAUGACGUCAAGUCAUCAUGCCCCUUAUGUCCAGGGCUUCACGCAUGCUACAAUGGCUGGUACAGAGAGUGGCGAGCCUGUGAGGGUGAGCGAAUCUCGGAAAGCCGGUCUCAGUUCGGAUUGGGGUCUGCAACUCGACCUCAUGAAGUCGGAGUCGCUAGUAAUCGCAGAUCAGCAACGCUGCGGUGAAUACGUUCCCGGGGCUUGUACACACCGCCCGUCAAGUCAUGAAAGUUGGUAACACCCGAAGCCGGUGGCCUAACCGUUGUGGGGGAGCCGUCGAAGGUGGGACUGGUGAUUAGGACUAAGUCAUAACA
This 1440-nucleotide ribosomal RNA is filed under the name uncultured organism. RNAcentral's name for it is "16S ribosomal RNA". It matches the Rfam family "Bacterial small subunit ribosomal RNA". The record is from RNAcentral.